This 469-nucleotide ribosomal RNA is filed under the name uncultured bacterium. Its description in RNAcentral is "partial 16S ribosomal RNA". It matches the Rfam family "Bacterial small subunit ribosomal RNA", at positions 28 to 507 of the family's 1533-position model. The record is from RNAcentral.
GACGAACGCUGGCGGCGUGCUUAACACAUGCAAGUCGAACGAUGAAGCCUUAGCUUGCUUUGGUGGAUUAGUGGCGAACGGGUGAGUAACACGUGAGCAACGUGCCCAGGACUCUGGAAUAACCGCGGGAAACCGUGGCUAAUACCGGAUAGGUGCCGAGGCCGCAUGGUCUUCGGUUGGAAAGUUUUUGCGGUUCUGGAUCGGCUCGCGGCCUAUCCGCUUGUUGGUGGGGUAAUGGCCUACCAAGGCGACGACGGGUAGCCGGCCUGAGAGGGUGAACGGCCACACUGGGACUGAAACACGGCCCAGACUCCUACGGGAGGCAGCAGUGGGGAAUAUUGCACAAUGGGCGCAAGCCUGAUGCAGCAACGCCGCGUGGGGGAUGACGGCCUUCGGGUUGUAAACCUCUUUUAGUAGGGAAGAAGCGCAAGUGACGGUACCUGCAGAAAAAGCACCGGCUAACUACGUG